RNAcentral lists this long non-coding RNA (3246 nucleotides) under Nicotiana benthamiana. Its description in RNAcentral is "long non-coding RNA (NBEN_LNC015726)". Lineage: Eukaryota; Viridiplantae; Streptophyta; Magnoliopsida; Solanales; Solanaceae. The record is from RNAcentral.
CCUCUAUUCUCGCACAUUUGACCGCUCCAUCAUACAUGUCCAUUAUGUUCCUUAUAUAUUUUAUAUGAAAUCUUUGCUUCUCAAGCACACGUAUCUAAUAUUUGGACUUGCUUCUUUAUCACAUUUGUGAUAUUGGUUUCAUGUUUUAUGACUUUAUCAUUCUUUCCUGAAGCUUCCUGUGUGAUUCAUAAGUUUAAUACCAUGGAUACACAACUUUGAAUAUCUCUUUUGUUCUUUAUGUUAGAAUUAAGGUACUCUUUGUCUACUUCUUUUUCUUCUUUCUAAUGUUUAAUAUAACUUUGAAUUGCUUAAUUAGCCAUAUAUAGUGACCUCCCAAAGACAUUUCCAAACCUUAUAGAGAUAUCCUCUCAUCCACAAAUUGCCCGACCUCUCAUAUGUUUCAUGGCAUCCUUUAGUUCGAUCUUCUUAGUUCUAUGAGUAUACUUAAGGGCUUUUGUUCGUCUUGAAUGUAUGAAAAUAAACUAAUUCAUUCUGCUGAUGUCUUUUGAGCAUCUCCAUCCAUUGAUUUCAUAAUCUCCUAUGAAAAUUUGUCCGAUGUUGUCUUUUCUACAUUUCACUUGAUUCAAGUCUUUACCCCUCUUCUCUCUCUGUUAUGUUAGUUUACACAUUUUUUCCUCUCUUUCCCGAGUCCCUAACUUUUGGUGGAAAUCGUCUUAGGCUUUAUUCUUAGCUUCUCUCUUCUCUCUCUUGUACUCCAUCUUCAGUUUUUGCUAACUUCCAAUACCACUCUCUUUGCUUUAACAAUUAUCUACACACCUCCAUGAUUUUUCAGAUCAAGGUCUUUGAUCUUUAGACACAUGUAUAACUUCAUGUACUUUCUUAAUGCAAAUGCCCUUUCCUAUAAUAUGUUUGUCGUCUUGUAAAUCUAAUGUUCUCUCCUUUAGUAACAUGUUUUUAAAAGCUACUUGACUUGUGUACUCCUCACAUUUGAUAUUCUUGGAGUCUUGAGACUAUCUUGAGACGUUAAAGGGCCACCGGUGAGUGAAAGUCAUUGUUGGCACACCACUUCAGUUAGACUAAUGACAACAUAAAACUUACACAAUGAUGGAGAACCAUGUGCUUAAAAAAGCGAGUAAGUGUGCUUAGGCAACAUAUAAAAGUUCUGGAUGAAAAUAACUAUGGGAGAUGGCCAAAUGGGAAGAAAUCACUUAAAUAUUUACCUCUCCUGGAAUUUGAACCCUGGUCGCCAAUCGUCCAUUCCAUCUUCAUUGACCGCUAAGUUAGAUACUAAUUAUUAGGCAUGUUCUAUGUCCUCAUUGUUCUCUUUUUUUUGGUCCACUCCAAAUUCAAAUAUAUGUUAGCUACCUCUUCGAUCAAAUUGCUUGGAUGAUAAUCAGAAGUCUUCAAAGGUUUUCUACUGAAAAGUAAACAAGGAGAAACCAAUUGAAUAAACAUUGGGUAGAGUUUUUGGACUAUUUGAGGAAUCUCUCGUCACUCUUAUCUUCAAUUUGUGAGUUUAGUCGUUAAUUUAUGCAUGACAUUACCGAAAGGUCUAAAAUUGUUCUAGAACAUGUCUAGCUUCUCCUUAAAGGUAGUUAGAAUAUCAAACACAGAAAAGGUUCAGAUAUGCCAUCGAACUUUAAGAAAUGGCCUGUUUAUGCCAUCCGUUAAAAGUUAGAUAUACUCAUAUAUGCAACUUUCCACUAUUGGAACCCUACUGGUACCAGAUUUUGCCACAUCGUAUCAUCUAAGCCCUUCAUCAUUUACUAGCCCCCUUUACGUGUGGCAUAUAUGAGCCUUUUCAUUAUGUUCAAUGGUAUAUUUGAGUUGUUUCCCAAGCCACAACUAUGUCCUAACCAUUGUAACAACAUACUCUUAAUUCACACACUCAUAUAUACUUUUCAUACCCAGCUCCACCUCAUUAGUGUACUCUCUUUUAAGCCUGUCACCUUUUUUCCUAAACAAAUUUAAUGCCAUUUUCUCAAGCCACCACCAUGUCCCAAGCAUUGUAACAUUCCAAAUUCCACCACGAGAAUAUAUGCAUACUCUUAGUUCACACACUCAAAUGUACUUUCAUACGCAUAUACACCUCAUUAAUGUACUCUUUUUUUAAGCUCUUGUCUUUUUUUGCUAUAAUUUUUAUGUGGUUUUAAAAUCUUUUUAAGAGCUAAUGUACGAGAAAUUUUUGAAUGAUAUAAAAUUGGAUUAGAUUCGUAGUCCAAUUAAAUAAAAUAAAAGAGUAUUAUAGUUUUCCAUGUAAAAUAAUAGUGUUAUAGUAUAAGGGACAAGCUUGUCCUUAUAAGUUUGUUACAUAAAUAUAUAAGUUUAGUACAUAAAAUUAAAAAAAUGGAGGUGUUAUACAAGAAUAUGAUUCUAAAAGGUUGAUUGACAUGCAUCGAAUGAUAAACAAAAUUUGUUACCCAAUAGAGUUAUGUAAUACAAGGAAUAGGGAAAAGGCUCAAAUAUGACACCGAAUUUAAUGAAAUGGCUCAUAUAUGCUAUUCGACGAUGUUGUCUUUUCUACAUUUCACUUGAUUCAAGUCUUUACCCCUCUUCUCUCUCUGUUAUGUUAGUUUACACAUUUUUUCCUCUCUUUCCCGAGUCCCUAACUUUUGGUGGAAAUCGUCUUAGGCUUUAUUCUUAGCUUCUCUCUUCUCUCUUCGAUAAUGCCACGUGGCAAAAUCUGGUAGGAGAUAUAUGAGCCAAUAGUGUAACGUUAGUGGUAGAAUAUGUUCAACAUUUAAUGGAUGGCAUAAUAGGCCAUUUAUUUAAGUCUAAAGGCGUAUUUGAGCCAUUUUCGUAUUAAAUAAGAAAGCUCCUUAAAGCAUAUUAGGUGGGAAACCAGUUAAGAAAGUUGUGAUCUUUCUCUCUCAUGGACAGCAGUUGAAAGGCAAUCUCAACAGCCAUCUGAAACCUAUGUUCUCAACACAUGAUGCUGCAGUAGCAUGUCCUUAUUAAAAAAUGAGUGCUGCUGUUCCUAUUAGACCAUAAGCUUGAAUUGGAGGGUGCUUGAUUACAUUUAAUCUCUCAUAAAACCUCAUGCUAGAAUUACAACCUGCUGUGCGAAAGAUGCGGAACAUCAAGCGACUGAACUAUCUUGCUUUGACAUUCUCUUGUGCUUUAACCUUGAUCUCUGUCACAACGUUUUCUGAGAACCUAAGAAGCACAAACAUUCUUGUUUGAGACAGUGUAUUCUGUUACUCAACCGUAACACCACCACCAGUUGAAUAGUAAUUGGACCUCCCUGAUAUGAGCUCAUUAUUCGUUCAAUUUAUUCCUUCUUGU